Molecule: ribosomal RNA, 346 nt
Filed under: uncultured bacterium
Lineage: Bacteria
Description: bacterial SSU rRNA
Rfam family: Bacterial small subunit ribosomal RNA
Source: RNAcentral
AGAGUUUGAUCAUGGCUCAGGAUGAACGCUAGCUACAGGCUUAACACAUGCAAGUCGAGGGGCAUCAGGAUGUAGCAAUACAUUGCUGGCGACCGGCGCACGGGUGAGUAACACGUAUCCAACCUGCCUUUUACUCGGGGAUAGGCUUUCGAAAGAAAGAUUAAUACCCGAUGGUAUAAUAUUUCCGCAUGGGAUUAUUAUUAAAGAAUUUCGGUAAAAGAUGGGGAUGCGUUCCAUUAGGCAGUUGGCGGGGUAACGGCCCACCAAACCUUCGAUGGAUAGGGGUUCUGAGAGGAAGGUCCCCCACAUUGGAACUGAGACACGGUCCAAACUCCUACGGGAGGCA